This 56-nucleotide ribosomal RNA is filed under the name Usnea aurantiacoatra. RNAcentral describes it as "partial large subunit ribosomal RNA". Lineage: Eukaryota; Fungi; Ascomycota; Lecanoromycetes; Lecanorales; Parmeliaceae. The record is from RNAcentral.
CAUAAUUGACCUCGGAUCAGGUAGGGAUACCCGCUGAACUUAGCAAUCAUAAGCGA